GAAAAGGCUGGGUUAUACCCUUAGGAAACCUAUUUGUUUCUUGGCUCCCUGCAGGGGCAUGCACACUAGCAAAGGCUCAAUCCCUUCAUUAUUCAUUUGAUCACAAAAGAAGGAAUGAGAGGAAAAAUACUUUUAUUUUUCACCAAGCAAUCACCAAGCGCAGUUUCAUCCACAGGUAAAGGAACCCAAGCUGGGCCCAAUGCCAAGUGCACUUCUUCAAUGUUACAUUCUGGGACAGGAGAGAGGAUCACUGGUUGAGCCUACCUACUCUGUGGACACAUUGUAAUCCUGAAACUGUUCUGAGCUUCCAUUCAUGGCCAGGACACCUGAUCACUUCAUCGUUGGGUUCUGUGUUUGAAAACUGGGCCAGCUCUGAACCUGGGUGACAGAACACACUGUGGAGAAACCUUGUCUCUAGGAUCUUGCUCAUACACUCUUGGCUCCUCUUGCUCUGGUGGAGCUCCUCAGUGCCCACUGGGAAAGUGAUCUGGCUCCCAAGACCACCAGCCUGUUCAAGUCAUGGAUGGCACCAGUUUUCACAGGCUGAGUGAUUAGAAAACAGACUCUGGGACAGCUGUGUACAUAAGAGUCAUCUGGGCAUUGCUCUUACAAUCCCUGUAGAAGACAAGAGCUCAGAAGCUGACAUAUGAGACUCUGUCGCUCAAAGCCGUGGUUCCCACCUGGAGUGGAAGAGGAAGCAGCGAAACAAGCAGGCAAGUUCAGAGACUCUGAGCUGCUUACGCCCUGGAAGUGCUGCGUGGACUUGGAGAGCAACUUCCUGCAGACUUCCUGUUAGAGAAGAGGACUGGACGUUCAGCUGUGGCUAGAGCAGACCUUCCUUCAGCUUUGUUAUCUGAAGCCCAAAGCCUUCCUACCCAAUGCCAUUGGUUCAAAUCAUGUUUGCUUGUUUGUUUGUUUGAGACAAACUAUUAAGCACUGGUUUACCUGAGACUUUCUAAAUAUCUAAGUACACACGAAGCUAUCCUCAAACGCAGGAAGUUUUUUGACUAAUACAAGGAAUAGCAGAUAUUUUAUCUUUCUCCUUUUCUCAUUUCUCAUUAUGAGAGGGAGAGUGUGCGAGAGCUCUCACUGACACAUGAGGGGGUGUGCAUUCAUGUGGGUCUCGUUGGCCCUGGGUGUCUCCUGUCCUGCCUCUGCUUCUCAAGUACUGGGAUUAAAGGUGUGCACCACCAUGUGUAAUCCAAAA
Molecule: long non-coding RNA, 1207 nt
Filed under: Mus musculus (house mouse)
Lineage: Eukaryota; Metazoa; Chordata; Mammalia; Rodentia; Muridae
Description: RIKEN cDNA E130008D07 gene
Source: RNAcentral